Molecule: small nuclear RNA, 118 nt
Filed under: Pogona vitticeps (central bearded dragon)
Lineage: Eukaryota; Metazoa; Chordata; Lepidosauria; Squamata; Agamidae
Description: U5 spliceosomal RNA (ENSPVIG00000020255.1)
Rfam family: U5 spliceosomal RNA
About the family: U5 RNA is a component of both types of known spliceosome. The precise function of this molecule is unknown, though it is known that the 5' loop is required for splice site selection and p220 binding, and that both the 3' stem-loop and the Sm site are important for Sm protein binding and cap methylation.
Source: Rfam by way of RNAcentral
AAACUCUAGUUUCUCUUCAGACUGUAUACAUCUUUCGCCUUUUGCUAAAGAUUUAUGUGUAGAGGAACACUGAUGAACUAAUUUUUUUACUUUUGAAGAGCCUCAUGGUGUAAUGGUU